UUUUUUUCCGUGUUCAAUUUUGACCAUUCGUUUUAUUUGAAAAAAUUUACGAUUAAUAUUUUUGUUCUUACUAGAUGAUAAAACAUAAAUAGUAUUUUAUGCGUGACUAAAUUUUUUUAAUUUUUAUAUAAAUUUUUCAAAUAAGACGAAUGGUCAAACGUUGGACACGGAAAAACGAAAAAUGAUCUUACG
Molecule: non-coding RNA, 192 nt
Organism: Oryza brachyantha (malo sina)
Lineage: Eukaryota; Viridiplantae; Streptophyta; Magnoliopsida; Poales; Poaceae
Source: Rfam